UGCUUCAAGAUUGUCUGAUUUUAGAGGAGGUAAAGAUGUGGUUAAAACAGACAUAAAAUCUAGAAAUUCUUCCACAAAGCCAAGUCAAAGAGGCUCAUUUGAAGCUCAGAAACACAACAGCUGGACUACAGUGAGGCCUAAAAUCAAUCAGUCUUCCAAACAGCGAGGGUCCACAUCUGCUGAAACUCAAAACCUGAGGGGGAGGAGGAGAGGUGAUUCAGCAGGUGAUGGCAGCAGACUUUACUAAAGAGUGAAACCCAGAGAAGGAGGAAAAAGAGAGGAGAGGAAGGAACAGAGUCAAAGGGGAGGGGGUGUUGCAGAAGCAAAGCAGGAAAAGAAAGAAGAGAGUGAGAGAAAGGGAAGAACAGGUGAGGCGGGGAGAGAAUAGAAAGGAGGGGAAAGAAAAGGGGGGCAAGGAAAAAGACAGGAGCAAAAUGUGAAGGAAAGGAUUAAAAGUAGUGCAAGGAAAUUCAAAGAAAGUAGAGAAAAGUGAAAAAGUGAGAGUUAAGGAACUUGGGAAGGAAAAUAAGAGAAAUAGAGAAGAAAAUGACAAAUGAGAUGAAUGAGGCGCCAUGAGGAAAAAAAAGUGAAUAAACAGGAAGAGGAGUAGUUCAAGGGUGAACCACUGACUUGAAGGUGGACAUCAUGACAGCUCCAAAACAAGCUCCCUUACUGAAUGGCUGCAGUAACGGUGAUAAAGCCUCCCACCUCCAUGUAAACAGAUGUAACAUGGACUAAACUGUGACAUCGUCUCUGCCACUAUAAUAGAUUUUUAUCAUGUUGAAAUGGGCAAAUAUUGUUUCUUUUCUGAGAUAUUCAAUUUCUAGUGAGUUAUUUUACGACAUCAAAAGGGAUAUACAGGACCAUCAUUGACAGCUCCAAAAACAGAUGAAACGCUUAAGGUGCUUUUCCACUGCAGGUUAUUUAAGUUGAGAGGGAAUGACAAACGAAAAAAUCAUAAACACUCAAGAAUCAUUGAAUUUUCUACGAACUCUACCAAUGUUCAAGAGAAACAGAUAAAAAGUAAAGAAACAAGAUAUAUGUGGAAACAGAAGAGGGUUAGACAAAACAAAAGGAGAGGAAAGUAAAGCAGGAGAGAGAUUAAGGUAGUAAAAAUGAUGAAAAUUUAGGAGACAUGAAUGUGGCAGGAAAGUGAGGACACUGAAGUAGUAAAAUUUGGGAGCAGUUACAGCAGGAGGAAAUGAGAUGUGAGAGGAGGUACAGCAGGAGACACAGUGAUCCUGUGAUAUGAAUUAUACUCCGCCUUAUUUUCAGAUACUGCUUUUCAUGAAACUGUAGACACACUCAGCCUCCUUCCCACCCAACCAGACGCUCCCUGGAGUGAACGGCAGUCACCACUACGUCAAAUCCAAUGACGUUUUAUAUAGCAGCAGGAAUGUGUGUGUAUGCAUAUACAUUAAGUGUGUGUGUGACCUAGCUGCAGAAAAGCAACUGCUCUGGGUAGAGGGACAUAUCUGCUUCAGUUUUUAACAGCUGGUCCCUGCAGUUGCCCUUUUCCACACAUGAAAGGGCAACAGUCACAGAGUGUGUACACACAUGUGUGUGUUUGUGGGACAUGAAAGACAAAAGCAGCAACAGGCAUCUCUAAGAGAUAUUCAGUACCUCGUAAAUCAGCUUGGUGCACGGACACAUGAGUGUGUGUUGAGAGUGAGAGUGUGGGAAAGUAUGAUUCAUACAGAUCUAUUUCUAAACUGCUGUGUUCGUAUAUAUAGAUAUAGAUAUAUAGAUAGAUAUAGAUAUAUAGAUAUUAAUUAAUUUGUGUUUGCUGUGAGUGAAAGCCAAAUCUAACAGUUGCAACAGGAUUAUUUCAGUUGUCUAUUUUUCUAUUUUGAUUAAUAUCUGAGGUAUUUAUGGUUAAACACUGUCACUCAUAAGCUGCUGUUUUCGUACAGUAAAUUUCAAAGGUGGUCAGAUUAUUAUCUUAUUCCAAAUUCUCAGUUAUUGCAAAAUAUGUACGGUUAAUAUUCCUUUAAUAUUUAGAUGCUGAUCACAAGUUUACAAGACAUGUAUGACAUGUAUGCUGUGUCUGCAUCCACAAUGUCUUUGAAAUGAAACGUUGUGCCAAAUAUGCAGCAUACCUCUGCCUGACCUACAUGUACCUUAAAGCUCCUAGGAUCAGUUUUUCCCUGGUAAUGAAAAAAGCUGAAAUCCAUCAUGCAAUCCAAAGCACAUGGAGCCAUUAUCACAGAAAGAGUUUAUUAUUUAUUUAUUCAUAAUUUUUUUUAUUUAUUAUUUUUUAAUGCCUAAAACUGCAGCCAGAGAUUUCGCAUCACAGGAAGUGAGUUACAACAUUGUCACUUUGCGCUCUGGUUUUGGACCCAGAAGCACAGACAGACACUGUUGUGGAAAGUCCAACAUAAACAAUGCACAGGAGACAUGAUGAGAUCUGAAGAACAGCCUGGGCGUCUUUAAUUGUACAGAUGUAGAAAUCAGUACAGAUGACAAAUAGAGUCUCGACCAAGACCCAAGGAAGCCUCCCUAGCUUUACUUCUACUCUCUUUUAUGCUGUUAGGUGUGUGUGUGUGUGUGGGUGGGUGUGUGUGUAUGUGUAUGUGUAUUCUCCAGAAGGCCCCUCAUGAUGACAUGUCUGCCCCACGACACUUUGUUUAGGUUCGUCUUGACCCUGGCAGAGAUUACAUGUUCCAACAGACAGAUAGUUUGGGCUCCUGCAAGACAGCCUUGCUUACAAUCUCAUGGUCGUGGGGCAGCAGGAGCAGGCCAACCUAGAUUAGUUGUGGCUUCUUACUAAAAGAUAAUUACUCUAUAUUUCUUAACCUAAAUGUAUGAAGACAUUCUCCUACACAUCCCCCCUUUGAAAGUUCUUACUUUCACAAAAAACCUAAUCAUCAUAUCAAACACUAAACAUCCUUAUGUGAUUAAAGAAACAAAAAUCAGUACCAUACCAUACCAUAGCUGGGAUCAUUUCAAAUUAUAUCAGCGUGUAAGACUGAAAACCCUGCUCGGCUGUUUCAGCAGGGAAAGAAUCUUACGGCCCCGCGCCCUGGCGACCAUCCAUUUCCUGGAUGCGCUGACAUAAUUUCAUUUGCAUAGAAGAAAGUGUCCACAUUUGAUAAUAUCAUUACAUUACAUUACACAAACAUGUUGUUUGUGUUGCUCAAAGUCCAUUGCUCAUCUUCUUCUCCUUCAAAGUCCAGGAACCGUUCAGGUCCCUCAGUCCCUCCUUGAUAAAUCACACACUGUGCCAGCUGUUUUGGUGGCAUUUCCUGUAGUUCAUGGGCCAGUGUUAGGUCCACCAUAAGUCCCAUCUCCUCCGUCAGCCGCGAUAACAAUGUCUCCAAAGGAUGUGUACGAUGCGACAUGUGAGAAAGGAAAUCAGAAUUAGGGCUAUCGCAGCACUCAUGGCUGGGCCAAAACGGCUCUCAUUCAUCUAAAAUUUAGACCACCCAGUCCAUUAACAGGCCCCCCUUACCAGCAUUCUCCCACAUUUCCACUUUAAACUUUUCUUUACCCUUCACCACUUUCAGUCCAUCAACAGGCCCCCCUUACCAGCAUUCUCCCGCAUUUCCACUUUAAACUUUUCUUUAUACCCUUCAUAGCUUUAGAAAAACCUCCCCCAGGGCUCGUUUUGUUAGAAACGUAUCUGCAACAGUACUUCCAAAACCUUUUAAGACACAUCUUUUCUCUUCACAUCCUCUCUCAUUCUCACAUUACCACACACAAAAUACUUUUUAAUUUUAUUAUCUAUUUAACCUCAUUGUAAAUCUGUAAUAAUCUGUGAAUGUUGGCAUGGGUUCUAGCUCUGUCUGGAGUGGUGUGGAUUGUGUUUUGGGUUGCAUCGUACUCACCCGCGAUAACAAUGUCUCCCACUUCUUCUUCUCACAGCUGUACUGGCACCAGUUUGACCUUCACCCUCAUUGUUGUCUCCAGUCUCUCUCUCGGUCUCUCUCCACACAUUGUCCCUCAGCAGCAACACCAGGAAAACAGUUACUUUCAGGACGAGUGCUACAGUCAUUCUGGGAGUGUCUCUUAUCAAGUCAUACUUCCCUUGUUUUUUCCUGGGCAGUCAGUGGUAGAUGACGCCACAUCAUAUUGCCCUCUUCUUGCACUGAAGUAGAGUUCACCAGGACCAAAGUGUUCAGGUCUUCUCCUCGUUCCUUGUGCCACCCUCCUCAAAGGACGGUGAUGUACACCUGAUGCUCUGGCUCGACUGGCCUCCACCUCUUGACUGGGAUCAGAUUUUGGCACUCCUCCUGCUAAUCGAUAGAUCUUUGCAUCGUAGUUAGCUGCCUCAUAUAUUUAAUUCACUAAUUUUCAGCUGCUCAAGCGAAAAACGUAAUUAUUUAGCCGCAGUAAAGCAUAGCUUUGUAAGUUAGUCAAUCAUGCAGUGAAAGAUUUAUCUCAGUGCUUUUGAUUGUGAAAGCUCAUAAGCGCAAGUAGCAAAGCAUCUUCCUAUAGGUUAGUGUUAGUGCAAAUUCUCUGAUCAGAUAUUUACUUGAGAGAUUAACUUUCUUCCCCAAAAUAAUGUACCAAUUCAUGCAGUGAAAGAUUUAUUUUGACUCCAAGAUCUUUUGAUGGUGUUGCUUCCAUCCAUCGACUGAACCCGUCAUCAUUACAAACAUGUAACAUAUCCCUUGGCAGUUUUAACCAUGUCCACAUUGUCUAUGAAUAGAUUUCUAAAAGCAUCUCUCUGGAACUGGAAAGUGUCCCACUACUGUUUUAUUGUUCUCUUCAAUUUAUCUAACAAAACACAUAUCACAAUGACCCAAAAGUUUAUCAACUAUUGUCAGCAUAUUCUAAAAAUGUCGUUUUAAUUGUCUCAUCAUCUCCCCCCUUGCACAGUGUGAAUCACUGUGAAAGUCAGAUCCUAAGUUCGUUUGUUAAUACUACUGGUACAAAAACUAGUUAUUUGACUCUAAACCAUUUUCUGUGGCCUUACUGGCCUUUGAUAGCUUUCUAUUACUUUUACAUUAGAUGGCACACCUGUCAGGAGUGUAUGUGGAUUCAGCACAGCUGCAUUUAGAUUUAUCAGUAUUAAACUAACAGAACAGGAAUGUUACAAUGCUAAUGUCACGAUAUUUACUUAAAACUAUAAACCAUAACUGUCUACUUACACACCUUGCGGUGAGCACCAAAUUUGAAUGUUACUUCUACAUAGGGCUCUUUGGUCUAUAAGGUCAACAGGGUUAAAAUUAAAACCAAAAAUUAACUUUUUCCAUCAUCCACAAAAAUCACACUGUAGUAAGCCACCACUUUCACAUUGUCUGGGCUGGGGCUCCCCACCACAGCUCCAGCCAGAGACGUCCCUGGUCUGGGCAGUUGUCAAAAAUGUCUGGUAUGAUCACAUCUCCAGCAGGUCUAUAGACGUCACACAUCCGUCAGAAUUCCACUCUCUCCCCCUGCCGGGAUAUAUCCUCUCUAUGGAGCAGGGUUCUGUCUGAGGAUAAACAUUCACAACAGGUGAUUAAACAGGUUACUGUCACAGGUUUUACCGCAGUUAGCCUCUGCACGGUCUGCAUCGCUGGGUCUCUUUUGCAGUGUCUUCCUUAGAGGUGGCCACCAUCGUGGCCUGAGUCUGUACUCCACAUCACAUCACAAUAUGCAUUGAACUCACUCCCAUCUAUCAUGGGAUUCGUCAUCCAACCUUGUUUUGCCUUGCGCAGAGACUCCUCCAUCGUCUUAGUUCCCAGCAGUUGAGCCAAGAGUGCUUUCAUGUCUGGUGUAGUCAACAUUUUCUUACAGUUCAUCCUCAAAAACUCGUAUCCAUCUCCCUGCCCCCUGUUCAGUUUGUGGUAGUCUGGCAAUCAGCCCAACAAGGUGUGUGGUUUUCCACAGCACAAUUUCACGAAAACUGUCAAUUACCUUUUCAAAACAUAUGGGACAAAAUAGCAAUGAUUAUAAAUCAUUUGGAAAUUCAAAAGAGAUAAAUAAGAAAAAUAAAUAAAUAAAUAAUAAUAAUAAUAAUAAGUUUAAAGGCAACCUAAGAUAGAAAAGUUUUAGUUUUUAUUCUAUUCUUAUUUAUUAGUUCAAAAGAUCAUCGCAUGAGUAAGAAAAAACAAAUAAUAUAAAGUAUGAAAAUGACACAAAUCUUUGAACAUGUCCAGUACUUUUAGUUCCAUAUCUCUUGUUUUUGCGUGUUUUACUUUAUCUUUGUGUUUAUGGCCUUAGAUUCGCUGCUCCAAAUCCUCACACACAGCCAAAUCAGAUGUGCCUCCCCUAGGUCAUAAAAAUUCAAACCCCUUGACUCAUUGUUCCCAUUUCUUUGUAAGUUUUUGGAUAUUUUUAAGUGAUCAGGAUAUUUACACCCUACCAGUGCAAUUGGAGUUAAACUAAUCUUCCCUUUCUGAUCAUGGUUUUUGUAAAAUUUAUUAUUCAAAUGAGCACACACAUCAAAACUUGAUCCCCAGCAGUUUUGUAAAAUUCCCAAAAAAUACACAGUAUAAAGCCUUUGCCUUAACUGCAGUUCUAUAGCAAUAGUCAGUAUUGAUAUUAACAGCUUCAAUAAUAUUUAAAAAAACACAGUAUUUUGGCAAAAACAGCAGAUGUAUAGAAGCAACUCCUAGAUUUGAAGUUUUAGAAGUUUUGCACUUGUGGUACCUCAUUUCUUUUUCCCCUUUUUGUGUCUUUUAUACUUUUACAAAUAUUAUUUCAGCAGCUUUAACACAGAAAAUUGGUUACGGAGCAUAAGACGUGUUCACAACAAAAAAACCAUAAUAUUUGAGCAUAAGCUAAAACCUUCAUAUCAGGAGUGUUCAUCAUGGUACUAGGAACAGAACCUCUUUCCCAGGAGUAUUUAACCUUCUAUGUCUCAACUGAUAACAUGACCGCAAUGAGCACAGUAUUUACAUAAACAACUAUGAAAUAAACACAAGUGAGGAAAACACAGCAAUCUUUGACUAACAUAACACACACACAGAUGCAGAGUCUGGCUGUGAACACUGCCAGAGAACUUAGUUGACACAGAACAAAACAGACACACACAAACAUCCAAUCAACCCACACACUUCACUUUUUUAUCACACAAUGGUAUACCCUUUCACACGUGUUUGAAGUCAAAGUCAGUCACUGGAGUCAGUCAGCAGUCUUCUAUUUUAAUUCUUGUUUUGAUUUCUUCAAUUUUUCCAAUUUGUGUGAUUUUUUUUCAAUUUGUGUGAUUCUUCUACAAUUGGUCAGGAGAUAUGGGACGUGCUUGUUCAAUUGGGAUCCUUGAAUAGGUUUUUCAGCCUAUCCUUAUUGACCUCUUUUUCUAUCUCCUGCUCAUCAAGCCAAUCUGUAUCUGUAAUUUAAGUCCAAUUAUAACACUGAUUUUGUGAGGUCUUUGACAUAUAAAAGAUAUAUAUAUAUAUGUACAUUUCAAAUAUCUACUAUUCCGUCAUUAUACUUAUUCGGCCCUCUAGAGUUCUGGAUCAGAAUUUAGGAGGAUAUAUGCCACUUUCGUUCUCCUUUUGGCUUUUUCUUAAGCCUCAGCGGAACUUCGCAUGACAAAUCCACUUUCUAGUGGAGUUUUCCAGAAAGAAAAUCCACGUAUGUAUUACGAGAUGAAUCUGCUCGUCCAUCAGCUGCCACCUUUCAGAGCUCAUGAAAGAUGGUCUAAAAUUCACAGUUCAACAAUGGACAGACACACUCGUGUCUGCCCCUCCCCUUGUUAUCCCAAAAAUUACCCUGAACCUUUUUAUCUCCAGGCAUUCAGCCUAAAAAAAAAACACAUCACAACCCGGGCCCGGCUGUCUCCCCAAGCUACUGGCCAGUGCUUUUCUGCACCCAGCCUAUAGCUUCACAUAUGACAAUCUCACACCUAUAGCAGCAUGAGGCAAUCUCACACUCUGAAGAAGACGAAGUGCUUCUGCACCCAGCCGAUAGCUUCACGUGACAAUCUCACACUUAUAGCAGCGUGAGGCGGUCUCACCCUUUAGGAAGACGAAGUGCUUCUGCACCCAGCCUAUAGCUUCUCACACAUAGAACAGCCUAUGGCUUCUACAUAUGGCAUCUCACAUAUGCAGCAGCCUAUAGCUCUACAUGUGGCAUCCCUCAUAUGCAGCAGCCUAUAGCUCUACAUGUGGCAUCCCUCAUAUGCAGCAGCCUAUAGCUCUACAUGUGGCAUCCCUCAUAUGCAGCAGCCUAUAGCUCUACACGUGGCAUUCCUCAUAUGCAGCAGCCUAUUGCUCCUCAUAUGGCAUUCAUCACAUGCAGCAGCCUAUAGCUCCUCAUAUGGCAUUCAUCACAUGCAGCAGCCUACAGCUCCUCAUAUGGCAUUCAUCACAUGCAGUAGCCUACAGCUCCUCAAAUGGCAUUCAUCACAUGCAGCAGCCUACAGCUUCUCAUAUGGCAUUCAUCACAUGCAGCAGCCUAUAGCUCCACAUAUGGCAUUCAUCACAUGCAGCAGCCUAUAGCUUCUCAUAUGGCAUUCAUCACAUGCAGCAGCCUAUAGCUUCUCAUAUGGCAUCCCUCAUAUGUAGCAGCCUACAGCUCUACAUAUGGCAUCUCACACAUGCAACAGCGUGAGGCAAUUUCACACAGUCAACUGCAGUUUCUCUUAAAUCAGCUGAUAUAUAUUCAAUUUCAAUUGGCUUCCUCACAAAUUUAGCAGACUUUGAUCAGCUGACUGCAUGCAUGCAGUUUUCUCAGACUGUCUUCAUUCCCACUGUCUCCUCUUAUUUCUAUUCUAGGUUCUUUGAUUCGAAGAGGACAGAGAACAGUAGUCCGCACCACCUCACAAGGAGAAGAACUCUCAACCAAAUUUUAGGAAAUAUCCUACCUUUUUCUUUUUUUGUGCGCACAGAGUGUCCUUAUCCCAUGUGAAGUUCGCAGACCCAUGGUCCCUUGUCCCCCGAAACGAAUUCUGGCUAAAGCUCGCCAAUUAUGUUGUAGAAAGUCCAACAUAAACAAUGCACAGGAGACAUGAUGAGAUCUGAAGAACAGCCUGGGCGUCUUUAAUUGUACAGAUGUAGAAAUCAGUACAGAUGACAAAUAGAGUCUCGACCAAGACCCAAGGAAGCCUCCCUAGCUUUACUUCUACUCUCUUUUAUGCUGUUAGGUGUGUGUGUGUGUGUGGGUGGGUGUGUGUGUAUGUGUAUGUGUAUUCUCCAGAAGGCCCCUCAUGAUGACAUGUCUGCCCCACGACACUUUGUUUAGGUUCGUCUUGACCCUGGCAGAGAUUACAUGUUCCAACAGACAGAUAGUUUGGGCUCCUGCAAGACAGCCUUGCUUACAAUCUCAUGGUCGUGGGGCAGCAGGAGCAGGCCAACCUAGAUUAGUUGUGGCUUCUUACUAAAAGAUAAUUACUCUAUAUUUCUUAACCUAAAUGUAUGAAGACAUUCUCCUACAACACACGCUGCAUAAUUAUUGAGUACACCAAUUUUGAGCUUGUGUAGUCCAAAAAUACAAAAGUGUUGGCUGGCUUAUGCGGGGAAGCCGAUGAAGCUUUGUCCAGAGCAGUGGUCUCUGUGUCAGCUGAUUUUCUGCACAGGUCUGCAGUGAUUACAUUUAAGCUGAGUUUGCAGGCGAGUUCCUCUUCUGUUUGUUUGUUAUGCCGGGGGGAAUCCGAUGCAAAUCUGUCACUUUAAAAAGGUGGAUUUGCAACUUUUCAGUAGCUGUGGCCAAGUAGACGAGUAAGUCAUCUUAUAGUUUGUAGUUUAAUCCCCACUUCCUGCUGAACACACAUUGAAGUGUCCCAGACUUUCCCCAAUUUUCCCCAGACAGCAUAGUCUGUGGGAUGAGAAUUAAAAUGAAUGAUUAGGUUCUUCAAAACUGGACUUUAACGUUUGCCGCUGAGUUUGGUUGACUUUUCUUUAUCUAAUCCUUUCUCCUUCAAAAAUUGAUCCGACACUCUGCUUUGUAGUUGUCCUGUAAUUCUGUAGACAAACAGACUUAGAUUUGGAGUAAAACAGUCUUUUUAUCAGGAGAGGGGCUGCCUUGUGUUAAAAAAGGAGUAAUGCUGCUCAUCACUGAGUUAUGCUGCUGUAUCUGUGAAAAAACUAUAAUGAAAGGAGUUCUGGUUUCAAUGCAAAGGUUUGUGAAAUCUCACAUUACCACAAGGAAAGUUGGCUGUAUUGUCCAUGGUGUCUUGACCUCAUUCAGUUGAUGUUGUAUACAUUGAACAUACAAGCUCUAUUUCAGCGCUCAGAAGGUUGAAGUGUCAAAUUCUGACCUCACAGCGCAACUUUAUUAACACUGACACACCCACAUUUGGAAAAAGAAGCUUGAUUUUGCUUUAAGUAGUCUCACUACUGCACAGGCGCCAUCUCUGAUUGGUUUUCGGGCUACCUAUUAAUGAUCAGACAGGUCACUGUGACUCAUUCCUUGUUAUUCUUUUAUGCAGCUUUUCCAAAUAACAGUAAAGCGUGUGACAAAUUUACAUUUAGCAUGUUGUAACUCAGAGCAUUAACACCGACUUUUCAUUUCCUCCGCCUAACAAUCAGGCGCUGGGCUGACUUCUUCGGCAGCUCGCUUUACAGGCUGAUACAUUAUAUAGUGUGAACCAGGUCAGCGGUUAUAAUGGCAAAGCAGCAGCCAGGCAGUGAGGAGGAAAUGUCAGAGAGGAGUAUGAAACAGAUGAGCUUCAAUCUACACAGGCCCAUACAUGGAGAGGAGGGGUGUGGUAUGUGUGCUUGAAUAGUGUGUACACAAA
This is a non-coding RNA of Xyrichtys novacula (pearly razorfish), 10606 nucleotides long. The record is from the annotation of a GenBank genome assembly. Lineage: Eukaryota; Metazoa; Chordata; Actinopteri; Labriformes; Labridae.